RNAcentral lists this transfer RNA (60 nucleotides) under Aeromicrobium sp. RNAcentral describes it as "tRNA-OTHER". Lineage: Bacteria; Bacillati; Actinomycetota; Actinomycetes; Propionibacteriales; Nocardioidaceae. The record is from RNAcentral.
ACUUCAAGGGUCCAAUUCGCUCUUGUAAAGCGGGGGUCGACGGUUCGAAUCCGUCAGGGG